Molecule: small RNA, 944 nt
Filed under: uncultured fungus
Lineage: Eukaryota; Fungi
Description: eukaryotic LSU rRNA
Rfam family: Eukaryotic large subunit ribosomal RNA (bases 514-944)
Source: RNAcentral
UCCGUAGGUGAACCUGCGGAGGGAUCAUUACACAAAUAUGAAGGCGGGCUGGAACCUCUCGGGGUUACAGCCUUGCUGAAUUAUUCACCCUUGUCUUUUGCGUACUUCUUGUUUCCUUGGUGGGUUCGCCCACCACUAGGACAAACAUAAACCUUUUGUAAUUGCAAUCAGCGUCAGUAACAAAUUAAUAAUUACAACUUUCAACAACGGAUCUCUUGGUUCUGGCAUCGAUGAAGAACGCAGCGAAAUGCGAUAAGUAGUGUGAAUUGCAGAAUUCAGUGAAUCAUCGAAUCUUUGAACGCACAUUGCGCCCUUUGGUAUUCCAAAGGGCAUGCCUGUUCGAGCGUCAUUUGUACCCUCAAGCUUUGCUUGGUGUUGGGCGUCUUGUCUCUAGCUUUGCUGGAGACUCGCCUUAAAGUAAUUGGCAGCCGGCCUACUGGUUUCGGAGCGCAGCACAAGUCGCACUCUCUAUCAGCAAAGGUCUAGCAUCCAUUAAGCCUUUUUUUCAACUUUUGACCUCGGAUCAGGUAGGGAUACCCGCUGAACUUAAGCAUAUCAAUAAGCGGAGGAAAAGAAACCAACAGGGAUUGCCCUAGUAACGGCGAGUGAAGCGGCAACAGCUCAAAUUUGAAAUCUGGCUCUUUUAGAGUCCGAGUUGUAAUUUGCAGAGGGCGCUUUGGCUUUGACAGCGGUCCAAGUUCCUUGGAACAGGACGUCACAGAGGGUGAGAAUCCCGUACGUGGUCGCUGGCUAUUGCCGUGUAAAGCCCCUUCGACGAGUCGAGUUGUUUGGGAAUGCAGCUCUAAAUGGGAGGUACAUUUCUUCUAAAGCUAAAUAUUGGCCAGAGACCGAUAGCGCACAAGUAGAGUGAUCGAAAGAUGAAAAGCACUUUGGAAAGAGAGUCAAACAGCACGUGAAAUUGUUGAAAGGGAAACGCUUGAAGU